Molecule: ribosomal RNA, 468 nt
Filed under: uncultured bacterium
Lineage: Bacteria
Description: partial 16S ribosomal RNA
Rfam family: Bacterial small subunit ribosomal RNA
Source: RNAcentral
GACGAACGCUGGCGGCGUGCUUAACACAUGCAAGUCGAACGGAAAGGCCCUGCUUUUGUGGGGUGCUCGAGUGGCGAACGGGUGAGUAACACGUGAGUAACCUGCCCUUGACUUUGGGAUAACUUCAGGAAACUGGGGCUAAUACCGGAUAGGAGCUCGUGCUGCAUUUUGUGGGUUGGAAAGUUUCGGCGGUUGGGGAUGGACGCGCGGGUUAUCGGCUUGUUGGUGGGGUAGUGGAUUACCAAGGUAUUGACCGGUAGCCGGCUUGGGAGGGUGACCGGCCACAUUGGGACGGAGAUAGAGACGAGACUCACACCUGCGGCAGGAGGCGGGAGUAUAGCACGAUGAGCGGGAGCCAGCUGCAGGAACCCCCGGUGCGGGAAGACGGCAUUCGGGUGGUGAACCAAUUUCGCCUGUGACGAAGCGUGCGUGACGGUACUGAGUAAGGAAGCACCGGCUAACUACGUG